Long non-coding RNA from Oreochromis niloticus (Nile tilapia), 3979 nucleotides. NCBI's taxonomy places the organism in Eukaryota, Metazoa, Chordata, Actinopteri, Cichliformes, Cichlidae. The record is from Ensembl.
AAGCACAUCUAUUUGGGAGAGAACUGCUGCCAACCCAGAGGAGACUGGAGCUGAGAAAUCAUAUGACCCCCUUUCUGAAUAAUUGCAUUUCAUGAGGAGGAUGGCUCCUAUUCAAGAAAGCAGCAUAGUGGUGAGCCAGACCACACUUACUCCUGCUGUGACAGAUACCACUCUCAUCGAAAAUGUGACCAGUCUGACUCCGACACCCGUGAUUUUCAGCAGCACCACCUCAGGCUGCUUCGCUUUUAACCUUUCUGCUUGUGAGCCAUGUGCACCGGGGUCACAGUACGACAACAACACACUUCUGUGCACGUGCUGUCCUGACUCAGGGCGGUGUGUAUUUCCUGGCGCGUGCCUGCCAUGCACCAGAGGAUUUUAUCAGCCACUAGCUGGACAGCAGCGGUGUCUACCUUGCAGCCGGGGCUUCUACACCAAUUUCACUGGAAGUCCAUUAUGUCGCCCCUGCCCUCCUGGGUCCUUCAACAAUAACACUGGUGAAGACUCUUGCACAAGUUGCUCACCAGGUUUCUUUUCAUCGCAGGGUAAUUCUACUUCAUGUAAACCAUGUGCACAAGGACGUUUUUGCAACUCAUCGGGUUGUACUCAGUGCCAGAUGUGUCCUGGAGGAACAGAAUCUCUGCAGGCUGCUGCUAAGGACUGCUCUCCAUGUCGGCCAGGUAUGUACAAGGCCGCCCAUCAGAAUAUGUGUCAAAUCUGCAGCAGUGGCUAUUUUCAGAUCCGCUGGGGCCAGGAAAGCUGUGAUAUCUGCCCAGAGAAUCACUACUGCCCUAGUCCCGACGUGAACCCCAUUCAGUGUCCGAGUGAUGCCUUUUGUCCAGAGGGCAGCUUGGCUCCGGGCUACUGCAUGGAGACUUUCUUCCGCAAAGCAGGGGACACUUGUGAACUGGCUCCUGUCACUAUUGCUUUGUUAGUUAUUGGAGGAGGGGUGGCCUUACUCUUUAUUAUUUUAAUGCUUUUACGUCGACGAAGAGAAACUGACGGAGAGCUGACAGUAGCCCGGGCUCCACUGUUACGAAAAGAGCGACCUCAAGGACGAUACUAUGGCCUGCCCUGUGACGCAGAACCUGUAUAUGCUGGCUGGUGAAGCACUAAGAUAUAAGAAGAGACACUGAAACACUGAUAAAACUCCCUCCCUCCCCUCUAGAGACUACACCUUGACAAAUCACCAUCCUGUCAAUUGCAAUGAAUUACUGGCAUGUGAAGGUUGAUUCUUUGGUGAAUUCUUCCUGUUGCAAUCGUUCCACUCAGAGAAAAACAUUCCUUGUGUAAGUGAGGUUAUUCGAUUAUGAGAGGUACGCUGGAACGAUGAAAACAACAUACAUGCCUCUGCAUGGUGACAGCCUUUUUCACUUAUGAAAAGCACUUUUUUUAACAAGGUAAUUGAUUUACUUUGCAUUCCUGUGUCAGUACACUUACAUUAACAUCUGUUGUCCCUCAGUGAUUACAUGUAAACUGUGGAUGACUUUUUUUUUAAUUUAAUUUAAUUUUAUUGCUUUUUAGAUACUUUUGCUUAAAGGUUUUUAACUGCUUUUUAAGGUUAUAUUUGUAUGUUUUAGAAGAAAAUAAAAUAUUCUGAUUUCUAACCCUUUUCAAAUGCUAUGUUAUAUUGUGGACUAGCUUUAAAAUAAAUGAAAAAAAAUCUAUAUUGUCUUGAUAAUUUGUCCUAAUAUGCUGGGACAGUAUAAAGUAAUUUAUCAGAUUUCGAAUGAUCAUUAAUAAGUUAUUAGUAUUAGCACCUGUUAUCAUUAGUGUCCUCAUAUUAAUUUAUUUACUGGAGGAAAAAAUCUUUUGGUGAUAUGUCUUUUUAACAAGUACUGAUUCUCCAUAUUCAAAACUUUUGAUUGGCUGUAUGUACUAUAUGUGUAAUUAAUUCAAAUAAUAUAUAUAUGUAAAUAUAUAAACUUUUUAUAAACAACUUUAAAACUCAAGAAAGACUCACAUUUCACAGAUUUCAAAACAUUUUGAAAGACACUGGCUAAUUUAACCAAGAAAAACAACAUAAUUAAUAUCAGAACAAAAUGCGCAUUAACAACUGCCUUUCAGCAACACACAACACAAAACUGUAGUAUUUUAUUAAAGACAAACAGUGACAGUACAUCGGCCUGCCAGCAGCAAAGAGUGGUGCUUUUAUAACAGCCUUCAAGUGUAAUAGAAAGAAAGUGUAAUUUAGGCUGUGUUUUAACUGUUGUUCAACUCUUGCUCCUGUAUGCUGUGAAUGUGGUGUUAUACUGUCUUCUGCAAGGAAUUAAGAAAUACAAACACUGUCUUAAUCAGCUCUUUAUAAUUACCACAGCUGACAUUACAUGCGUCACUUGUCUACAAAGCUUUGAAAGUAAAAUUAGUUAAAAGCUCUCAAGUGUUUCAUUUUUUGGUCAUAUUUUGAAUUGGUUGUAUAAUGCGUGUAGGCUAUAUAUAUAUGAUUAUUGUUUUAAACACACUGUGCAAGGGUUUUAGACACUUUUAGAUCACUCUUAACCAUCACGCUAUACCAGAGGUGUCAGACAUAAGACCUGAGGGUUAGAAUUGACCCAGCAAAGAUUCUGCUCACUGGACAGCUUCAGACAUUCUGAAGCGGGGCAUAGGUUUUGACUUUAAAAUGUAUUUGAAUACGUUUUAAAGCUUUUCCUACUGAUAAAGUCCUGCCACAAAAAAGUAGUUAAGUAAUAGAUAAACAAUUAAAUGACAGAAAAGUUCCUGAAAAUUCUCUCUUUUUUUUUUUUUACAAUGGCUCUACAAGAAUAAUUAUUAUUUUUUUAAAAAGUCAAUUAGCAAAAACUUUCUGUUUUAUAAUUACAGACAGUCUUGGCAACAAGCUACCAGAACUUUCGCUGUAAUUUUACUGAUUAAAUUCUUGUAGUUUAAGCUCAAAGAGUUGUGCUUGUCAGAUUUCUUUCAUUUACUACAGCAGCAUUUCUUUAUCUUUUAUCUCAGGAAAAUAGAGAUGUUCUGUUGAAAUUGCUCCUAUUUUUCAGAUAUUUACUGGGCUUUUUCACAUUAAUAAUUAGUUUGAGAUGUCUGCGCUGUACCAUCGGGGUCCUGAUCACUCCCCAGAUCAUUCUGCAGUACUCCAGCAACACCAGAUACACAGUUGGAGAGGACUGUGUACCUCAGGAAGAACAGAUGGCCGUUACAACCCCCCACAGCCUGACACCUUCCAUCAGGGAGUCAGGCUGAUGCUGAGGAUGCCUAAAACCACAGAAGUAUGAACCAAUCAAUUCUUUAGAAUUAGACAUGGAAAUAUUUUUGGAACUAUCACAGUCUAUUCUCAACAUUAAUCAGGCACUUGAAUCCUCUUUUGCUAGUUUUAUCUGUAACAGGUCACUGCUGCAUAUUGUAUACUGUAUAUAUGUGUCAAUGUUCUGCCUUGAAAUGUUAUGACAGUUGCAACCACUGUGUUGGAGUUUGGAUAUCCUGUCUGGCUUUGGGUUUCCUUCUACAGUCUAAAGAUGUACAUGUUAGGUUUGUCUGUCCCUUUGUGUCCUCGCUGUCUGACUGGUGAUCUGUCCAGGAUGUACUACUACUUGCCAGGUGUCAGCUGUGAAGUAAAUAGAUGGAUGAAUGGAUGGAUGCUGUGGCAUAAUUAUAUUUACUGCACGCCACAGCCCUACGCACAGCAGUCAUUUUGAUGAAUCAUAGCAGGGAAUAGCACAGGCGUUAUUAAGACAGCUAAAUGAAAUAGUGAUUGAUAUCUAGAUUGUUGAUAUUUGCUCCAGCUACAUUUCUGUCAUGGGCUAUCUGUUUAGUAGGUACGGGGAAAUUUGUCAGACUAAAUAAAUAAGAAAACUGAAAUACUGAUUUGGUCUUGCAGCAAAGAACAAUUCUUUCCAGAUUAUGCAAAAGUUCAACAGGAGAAUGUGAAAAAAUGGCAAUUCUCAAGAUCUCAUGUUUACAAUGUGACAGCUACGUAGACAGACACAGCUGGAAGCUGCAUAUCAUACUGUAUGCACACCAAGUAGAC